Molecule: long non-coding RNA, 1103 nt
Filed under: Chelonoidis abingdonii (Abingdon island giant tortoise)
Lineage: Eukaryota; Metazoa; Chordata; Testudines; Testudinidae
Description: lncRNA (ENSCABG00000021957.1)
Source: RNAcentral
GUGAUGAUCGUGCCUGGGUGACUUCAUUCCAGCACCACGAUCUGGUCUUCACACCCUUUGGGGGUGGCGGGGGCUUCUCUUUGAAGAGGAGUGGGGAGGCGGGUUGGAUGAUGGUUUUGGUGCUAGAUUUGGGGAGCGGGAGCCCUGUGGGCAGGGUGCUGAGCUGAUGGGGACGCACACGGCUUUGAAUGACUUGCUGCAGACCGCACAGACCUGCCAAAUGUUGCCAGCAGAGGGAAGGAGAGACGCUCUCCCGGAGCUGAUCUCUGCAGCGCGCUAGGGCUCGGGUCCCUCCCUUUGGCCGCAGGACUGAUUCAGGGGCCGGGGGGGGGGGGAGUGUUGUUGUUAAUUUUAUUUUCUUGGCUGGCCGCUGCUGGCUCCCUCUGCUCUCUCAUCUCCGCUCAGCUUUACCCCGCCCCAACCAGCGCGCACCCCCCCCCCACACGUCCUCCUGCUCUUCCUGGGCUGCCCCCUGCAUAGGGAAGCGGCUGCGGCUGCCGCUGGGGGUGGCGGGUUGCAGGGGCGCCGCGAUCGGAGCAGCGAGGGAGGGAGGCCGGGGCUGAGCCAUGCCGGGGGGCGGCUGCCGGAACCAGGGAUGGGGCGAGAGGCUGCCGAGGAUCCCAGCAUCUCCCCGCCGGGGGCCCAGGAAGCAGAAAAGCCGCCGCCGCCGCUGCUGAGAGCCAGCAAAGGGCGGCGAUGGGCUCCUUCUCCUCUCUGGAUGAGGCCAUUGUCUUGGCCCCAACACUGGCCAUCUAUGACUUCAGAGCCUUCCAAGACCUGCUAUCAAGGACAGUGAGACAGCAGUGAGCCAAGAAAAAUAUGCACAAGCAGCUCAACAUCCUCAGUGCUAACAAGAAUUGCCCUACUGAUCAAUGAGGCAUAUUGGACCAUGGCACACCCCAGCCUCAUUCCUGACUGCUUCAAAGUGAGUAGAACAGUGCUAUCGAGUCCUCCCAAGGGCUUUUAAUAUUUUUAUGUGCACCCGACACUGCUGUCACUUGUGGUAUCUGCAGCCCAGGAAAAGACCAGGGCUACUAAGGGGACUCCAAAAGCUGAUAAUCCCAAAACAUUGGACCUUUUUGGCCCAAAGUCUUACUCACCAG